GACGAACGCUGGCGGCGUGCUUAACACAUGCAAGUCGAACGGAAAGGCCCUGCUUUUGUGGGGUGCUCGAGUGGCGAACGGGUGAGUAACACGUGAGUAACCUGCCCUUGACUUUGGGAUAACUUCAGGAAACUGGGGCUAAUACCGGAUAGGAGCUCCUGCUGCAUGGUGGGGGUUGGAAAGUUUCGGCGGUUGGGGAUGGACUCGCGGCUUAUCAGCUUGUUGGUGGGGUAGUGGCUUACCAAGGCUUUGACGGGUAGCCGGCCUGAGAGGGUGACCGGCCGAAGGGGGAAUGAUAGAACGACGGGAGGAGUACGGGAGGAAGCAGGGGGGGAGAGGGCAAAAGGGGCGGAAGCCUGAGGCAGCAUCGCCGGGGGCGGGAGGACGGCCGGCGGGGUGGAAACCGCUGUCGCCGGGGACGAAGGGUGAGGGACGGGAAUGGGUAAAGAAGCACCGGCGAACUACGGG
RNAcentral lists this ribosomal RNA (468 nucleotides) under uncultured bacterium. RNAcentral describes it as "partial 16S ribosomal RNA". It matches the Rfam family "Bacterial small subunit ribosomal RNA", at positions 28 to 507 of the family's 1533-position model. The record is from RNAcentral.